Molecule: long non-coding RNA, 1180 nt
Filed under: Coturnix japonica (Japanese quail)
Lineage: Eukaryota; Metazoa; Chordata; Aves; Galliformes; Phasianidae
Description: lncRNA (ENSCJPG00005002995.1)
Source: RNAcentral
GCACUUCUAACAAAUGUAAAUUAAAAAGCCUGCCUCUUCAAGCAGAAUGUGCUGUGCAUAAAAUGCUUUUACCAAAUAAUUCCAGCACUGCAAUAAUCCAUUUCGUGAUUUAAAAGCCUUGUAAAAACGUCAAAAUGGUUGGUUGGUUCUACCAUCUUUGUGCCAUCUAUUGCACUGAAUAAAUAAAGGGAAACACAAUUUAUUCACUGCUUUGGAAGCUCAACGUUUCUCUCACUGAUGUGUGACAACUAUUAUCAUAUUUAUUGUCAGUAUUACACUCCUAAGCAUGCAGGUGAUGCACUGUGAGUAUUUCAUACUGAUAAAGCCAUCAAUAAUUUCCUACUGGACCUUCUUUGCUCAGUUGAAUCUGCACAGCUGGCUGGGAUAUCUAGAAGUAAGUAAUGAGGGGUUAAGAAAAAAAAAGAGAUAAACCAGGAAAAAUCUGACUGCUGUUAUCUAUUUCAACUUUAAAACAAACAAACAAAAAGUUUGUUGUGUUUUUGGUUUUUUUUUUGGAGGGGGGGGGGGGGGNNNNNNNNNNNNNNNNNNUUCACUGCCAAAUGGGGAUUCAGCAGCCAAGAUGACAAGAUUAGGUAGCAGAGAGCAUUGUCUAUUUCAAAAUAGGCUGCAAAAAUAUCUUGCAGCAGCUAAUACAAACCAUUUACCACCUAAUCUUUCUGACGUGCUUAUACUUUCAAAGGCACCACUGAAAUGAAAGUAAAAUUAAGAAAGGUCCCUCUUCCAGGGCACAGGCUAGUGGAGAAAGCAGCUCUGGAGGGUCCCUGGGGCUUACUUAGUCACAGUGCUCUGAGACACUGAGGUAGAAGCUUUGCUUUUGCAGCCUGACAGCUUUAUGUUUAAUGUUUGUACAGAAUCUUUGAUCUCUUAUUUAUACAUAUUUCUCCAGGACGGAGAAGCAAGCAGAAAUAGAAAUUUUAUUUAUAUAAAUCUUUCCAUAUCCCAGAGGUCAAGAACAACAGCAUUUCAAACAAAGUGGAGGAAUUUAUCUUUGCUUCUUAGUUUGCAGGAGCGAUAUGCAGUCCAGAUCAUGCCUCCGGAUGAAACUCAGGUGUACCAAUAUAGGCCCCUGAUGUUUUCUUGCCAAAUGGAUGUUUUGAUGCACAUUAUGCUUCUCUUCCAAAUAUGUGCUGAAACCCUGAAGAGCUGUGCAGUGGUGUAG